RNAcentral lists this long non-coding RNA (1091 nucleotides) under Capra hircus (goat). RNAcentral's name for it is "lncRNA (ENSCHIG00010024849.1)". The record is from RNAcentral. Lineage: Eukaryota; Metazoa; Chordata; Mammalia; Artiodactyla; Bovidae.
AAAACUCUUAGAUGUGGGAGAGUCUUGUGCUGACUUGAUCCGAGUUGUAGUUCUGUGCUCUGCGGAUCUUUGCGUGCGUGGCACCCGUGGUGUCUCCGCUGUGUGGGAUUGGCUGUGUAACCCAGGUAGAUCAUGGGGUGUUCUGUGGUUUCUGUUUCAAAGAAACAAGAGUCGGACAAGCCUACCAUAAUUAAACACAUUUCAAUUCUUUACUUGUCUUUUGAUGAAAUGCAGGUGAGUGUGCAUCCUUAAUUCAGCAUAAAUUUCUUAAAAAUCUCUCCAUCCCAUGUUUCUCUUCUGAAUAAUCUCUUCCUAGUUCUCAAGCACCUCCAAACUUUCUCGCUCCAUUAGCCCUCGGGGCAGCCUGCCCCUACUCGCCUCUUUACUAUGUAGAUCAAAAAAUCUCUCUUGACUUCCUUAGCAUUCUCUCAACUGCAUCCCUUCCCUUAAAUCUCAGCAAGAAAAAGAGGCCAGAAUCUAACCCAGCAAACAAACAAACAAAAUUAUCCUGGUGGGAGAGGGGAAAUUCAAGAAUACUCAUUGGUGGGUAUUCUUCAUCCCUGUUACAUUCACUUCCUUCUGUGGAGCCCUUGUUGCUAUUUACACUCUUCUCCAUCUCUGCUAAUAUAAGUGCUCAAAGGGCACUUUAAGUAUAAUCAUUAUCCAUUGAUUUUUUUUUUUUCUUUUUGCAGAGGCUUUUAUUCCCUUCAAUAAGCUCUGCUAAAGCCUGGCUGUUGGCUCUAUUUGUUAAAGAAAGAGCUUUGUUCUGUGUGGUUUUUCUCUUAACCUGAGUUUUCUAUCCAUCCUCAGGGUGGGAUAAAGGGGAGAUUUUCUGCCUCACCCUUUGGUGAGGACAGUCACUUCCUGAUUGGAAUUUGAGCUGAAAAUGUGUUCCAUUGGGAAGAAACAUGGAUAGCCUGGCACUUCCUGUGUUGUCUGAGUACUCACAGCCAUUCCUUUUUAAGAGUUUGACAGUAGUAAGUAGGAGACUCAGGAUACCAGAAAGGGAACCUUUUGACUUAAAAUUGCCCCAGUGGGUAUAAGAUAAACAUCAGAGACUUUUUUAGAGCAGAUUUUAAAAGAAGCGAGGA